UUUUUUUUUUUUUUUUUUUUUUUUUGGUGAGAGGGAGGGAUCCAAAGAAGAUGGGAAUCCCAGCCUUUCCAUCUCGCUUUACCCAGGAACGUCGAGAUCUUUCAACCGUGGGCUCAGAAACCCCCUUUCUGUGUCCACUUCAACCAUACACAUCUAACAGGCAGGAAUUCAGACUUGGCCGAGGUGAGGAGAACUGGUGGUUUCUGCCCUGUUUUGGUGACCUUCAUGGGCUUAUUUAUGCACUUCAAGCUCAUGACCUAAUAGAUGUUGGUUUGGCUUCUCUUCUCAUAAUAGCAGCCUGUAAAAAGCUUUUGAGAAUUCCCCGUGUUUUCUUAUUUUGGGUCAAGAAAAUAAAAUCGAUAUCUAAGUAAUCUUAAAAAAAAAAAAAAAAAAAGCCUGCACAAUCUAAAACUUUGGAAUGUUUCCACUCGGGCUACGGAUAUCUCUGAAAGCCUUGGAGAUCAGCAAAGUUAAGACCAACAUUUGCCAUUUUUAAGGUGACAUAUUUGGUAACAGCGUAUGUGAGAAUUAGCUAAGAGGGACUUUUCUGACAUAAGUCAAACAAUGACAUUUAAAACUCACGUUAAAACAAUUACCGUGCGGAAUUUUUCCGUGUUUUUCCCAUUUCUCAAACAGAAGUGUAUAUACUUUCAGCAUAGUUUCUUGCUGUAAUUUUCUUUCUUGGCAAACCCACAUCUUACCAUGAAACCCAAAGUAUGCACGCUACAGAAACAAUAAUGGUUGAAACAGACUCGGCUGUCUCUGGCAUGAUUUUUCUUUACAAAAUUAAAACGUCUUUUGGCUAAUACACUGUCCAUUUCAGUUAUGAAAGACCAUUCUUGGGAGAAGAACAGAAAAGAAAGGCGAGCUGACACAUUCCACUGAUUCGAGACAAAAAGUUGCUGUAUUCAUAUGGUAGGUAGUCAAACCUCCAGUUCCUGAGUCUUUGGGGGGAAAAAAUAUCGAUUUUAUCAUUCUUCCUUCAGUUAAAUUCACAGAGAGCUGACGAUUUUCCUCAGAAUGACUGUGGGAAUAGCUAUGUAAAAUCUGAGAAUGCAGAUUUUAAAAACCUAACUUUACUACAGCCUCAAAAGGAAACUAGAGGGGGAAAAAAUCCAGUGUCACUGAAAUCACACCCGUUUUCUUGUUAUUGACACAAUACUAUGGAUCCUAAAUGACGAAAUAAUUUCUAACCUCUUUUAAAUCCUUGGUUCAUUUUUAAAUGUGUCUAAAUGGACUUUAUUGGGCAAAGACCGUCGGUUAGGCGCACAUGCUCAAAACUGGUAAAAAGUAAACCUGUCUCCUUGGCUGGCUGUUCCUCUCCAUUCCUGUUUUAAAUUCCUGCGCGUUAUCUGAAAGCAGAGGCAGCCUUUGCAAAAGAGCCUAAGAAGCCACAUCUGCGCCCUAGUAUCGUCAGACGGGUUAUGAUAGGGAUGACGAAGCCCUGCUUUCUAGAGAUCUGGGUCUGAGGGCAGAGACCCCCUCAGCCACCCCUCCAGGCUCGUCCCAAAGUGGGGCCCUCUAGCCCUGGCUGACCCUCAGCCCGCCUGUCCCAGAGUCAGGCACCCGCCGGCCUCCCUUUACCGUCAAAGGGGCAAAGAUGAAUCGUUCCGGGUACCUGACUCUUGGGACCACCUGUUCCCAAUUAUUCUUCGCUCUCCAACUGUUUAUAAUCUAACCCCCAAACAACAACCCACCCAGAGCGAUCCAGCACCUUCCAGUAAACUUGAUCGGGACAGCCUCCCAUACUGUGUCAGGGCCUUGCCACUGCCGGUCACGUUGCUGACCCUUUAGAGGAACUGAAAUGCGUGGCGUUACAGGAUCAGAAGGACCAACCCAAACUAGCCCUUGUAAAUAAACAGGCCUUUUUUUCUUUUAGAGGAUCAUGGACAACCUGCUAAAUAUCAUGACUCGCCAAAGCCCAGAUGGGUGUUUUCUAAAUAUUUAAAACAAUUUUUCUGCCAUUUACGGCAACAGCAAAAAAAAAAAAAAAAAAAAAAAAAAA
This 2005-nucleotide long non-coding RNA is filed under the name Sus scrofa (pig). RNAcentral's name for it is "lncRNA (ENSSSCG00005002520.1)". Lineage: Eukaryota; Metazoa; Chordata; Mammalia; Artiodactyla; Suidae. The record is from RNAcentral.